AAAAUUUUGCUGUUUUUGGUUAUUAUCUUGAAUAUUAUUAUAGAUAGAGAUAAACUGUAAACAGCAAUAAUGUUCAGCAAAGUAAGAUUUACAAAUAAGUCAACAUGACCGAAAAUGGUCAGUUGACCCCUUUAGGAGUUAUUGCCCUUUAUAGUCAAUUUUUAACCAUUUUUCGUAAAUCUUAGUAAUCUUUUACAAAAAUCUUCUCCUCUGAAACUACUGGGACAAAUUUAACCAAACUUGGCCAUAAUCAAUAUUGGGGUAUCUAGUUUAAAAAAUGUGUCCGGUGACCCAGUCAACCAACCAAGAUGGCCGCCAUGGCUAAAAAUAGAACAUAGGGG
Molecule: long non-coding RNA, 341 nt
Filed under: Mytilus galloprovincialis (Mediterranean mussel)
Lineage: Eukaryota; Metazoa; Mollusca; Bivalvia; Mytilida; Mytilidae
Source: RNAcentral